GAGGGUGUCAACCCCAGCAUACUUGCAGGACUUAACAUAAACAACUCCUUGAACUGCGACAAAGCUUCUAGGAAAGGGGUGAACCGGAACAACCGGAGGUUUAACAGGAGGGUGAACCGGAACAACCGGAGGUUUAACAGGAGGGUGAGCCGGAACAGGAGGUUUAACUGGAGGGUGAACCGGAACAGGAGGUUUAACUGGAGGGUGAACCGGAACAGGAGGUUUAACUGGAGGAUGAACCGGAACAGGAGGUGGAUUAACAGGAGCAGGAGGGUGAUGGUGAUGGUGGUGAGUAGGAGGCUUAGCAGGGGCAGGGGUAGGAGGGUAAUUGUGGUGAGAAGGUGAAGGAACAGGUGCUGGUGCUGGUGCUGGUGCUGGAGGGUGGUGGUGGUGGUG
RNAcentral lists this long non-coding RNA (396 nucleotides) under Glycine max (soybean). RNAcentral describes it as "long non-coding RNA (GMAX_LNC002939)". Lineage: Eukaryota; Viridiplantae; Streptophyta; Magnoliopsida; Fabales; Fabaceae. The record is from RNAcentral.